AUUGAACGCUGGCGGCAUGGCUAAAACAUGCAAGUCGUGGGAGAAGCCCCUUCGGGGGUGGACACCGGCGAAAGGGCGAGGAAUACAUUGGAACAUGCCCCGAGGUGGAGGAUAGCUGUGGGAAACUGCAGGUAAUACUCCAUAAGCUCUUAGGAGGAAAGCUCCGGCGCCUUGGGAGUGGCCAAUGUCCUAUCAGGUUGUUGGUGAGGUAAUGGCCUACCAAGACUACGAUCUAUAGCUGGUCUGAGAGGAUGAUCAGCCACACUGGGACUGAGACACGGCCCAG
This 286-nucleotide ribosomal RNA is filed under the name uncultured bacterium. Its description in RNAcentral is "partial 16S ribosomal RNA". It matches the Rfam family "Bacterial small subunit ribosomal RNA", at positions 30 to 334 of the family's 1533-position model. The record is from RNAcentral.